CCUACGGGUGGCAGCAGUGGGGAAUAUUGGACAAUGGGGGGAACCCUGAUCCAGCGACGCCGCGUGCGUGAAGAAGUAUUUCGGUAUGUAAAGCUCUAUCAGCAGGGGAGAAAGAAAUGACGGUACCUGACUAAGAAGCCCCGGCUAACUCCGUGCCGGCAGCCGCGGUAAGACGUAGGGGGCAAGCGUUAUCCGGAUUUACUGGGUGUAAAGGGAGCGUAGGCGGCGAUGCAAGUCUGAAGUGAAAGGCGGGGGCCCAACCCCUGGACUGCUUUGGAAACUGUAUGGCUGGAGUGCAGGAGAGGUAAGUGGAAUUCUUAGUGUAGCGGUGAAAUGCGUAGAUAUUAGGAGGAACACCAGUGGCGAAGGCGGCUGACCGGACUGCAACUGACGCUGAGGCUCGAAAGCGUGGGGAGCAAACAGGAUUAGAUACCCCUGUAGUC
Molecule: ribosomal RNA, 443 nt
Filed under: uncultured bacterium
Lineage: Bacteria
Description: partial 16S ribosomal RNA
Rfam family: Bacterial small subunit ribosomal RNA
Source: RNAcentral